This 460-nucleotide ribosomal RNA is filed under the name Heterixalus andrakata (Andrakata reed frog). RNAcentral describes it as "partial large subunit ribosomal RNA". It matches the Rfam family "Bacterial large subunit ribosomal RNA", at positions 1942 to 2606 of the family's 2925-position model. Lineage: Eukaryota; Metazoa; Chordata; Amphibia; Anura; Hyperoliidae. The record is from RNAcentral.
AUAACCGUGCGAAGGUAGCAUAAUAAAUUGUUCUCUAAAUAAGGACUAGUAUGAAAGGCACCACGAGGGCUUAACUGUCUCCCUUUUCCAAUUAAUGAAACUGAUCUUCUCGUGAAGGCUUUAAACUUAUCACCAUUUACUUCUUAUUACACCACUGUAUAUAGUAAAAUUUACUUGAUAGUUUUCGGCUGGGGUGACCCUGGAGAAAAACAAAUCCUCCAGGAUGAACGGAAUAAUAAUCCUAAUCAAAGAGCUACAGCUCUAUGAAUCAAAAUAUUGACAGAUUUGAUCCAAUUACUUGAUCAACGAACCAAGUUACCCUGGGGAUAACAGCGCAAUCCAUUUCAAGAGCCCCUAUCGACAAAUGGGUUUACGACCUCGAUGUUGGAUCGGGGUGUCCCAGUGGCGCAACCGCUACUAAAGGUUCGUUUGUUCAACGAUUAAUAACCCCACGUGAUCU